CAGUCGCCGCGGGAAAACAGAGGGUGCAAGCGUUAAUCGGAAUUACUGGGCGUAAAGCGCGCGUAGGUGGUUUGUUAAGUUGAAUGUGAAAUCCCCGGGCUCAACCUGGGAACUGCAUCCAAAACUGGCAAGCUAGAGUAGGGCAGAGGGUGGUGGAAUUUCCUGUGUAGCGGUGAAAUGCGUAGAUAUAGGAAGGAACACCAGUGGCGAAGGCGACCACCUGGGCUCAUACUGACACUGAGGUGCGAAAGCGUGGGGAGCAAACAGGAUUAGAUACCCCUGUAGUCCCUGUCUCUUAUAC
Molecule: ribosomal RNA, 301 nt
Filed under: uncultured bacterium
Lineage: Bacteria
Description: partial 16S ribosomal RNA
Rfam family: Bacterial small subunit ribosomal RNA
Source: RNAcentral